RNAcentral lists this ribosomal RNA (265 nucleotides) under uncultured bacterium. RNAcentral's name for it is "partial 16S ribosomal RNA". It matches the Rfam family "Bacterial small subunit ribosomal RNA", at positions 1227 to 1500 of the family's 1533-position model. The record is from RNAcentral.
ACAAUGGCAGGUACAGAGGGAUGCUACCGGGCGACCGGAUGCGGAUCUCGAAAGCCUGUCCCAGCUCGGACUGGAGUCUGCAACCCGACUCCACGAAGUUGGAUUCGCUAGUAAUCGCGCAUCAGCCAUGGCGCGGUGAAUACGUUCCCGGGCCUUGUACACACCGCCCGUCAAGCCAUGGGAGCCGGGGGCGCCUGAAGUCCGGGACCGCGAGGACCGGCCUAGGGCGAAACUGGUAACUGGGGCUAAGUCGUAACAAGGUAAC